AGCUCCAAUAGCGUAUAUUAAAGUUGUUGCGGUUAAAAGCUCGUAGUUGGAUUUCUGUUGAAGACGGCCGGUCCACGCUAUGCGUGUGCAUCUGGUACGGCUUUGGCAUCCUCGUGGGGAACGUCACUGUGCUUCAUUGCAUGGUACGAGAUUCACGACUUUUACUUUGAGGAAAUUAGAGUGUUCACGGCAGGCAAUCGCCUUGAAUACAUUAGCAUGGAAUAAUAAUAUAGGACUUUAGUUCUAUUUUGUUGGUUUCUAGAACUGAAGUAAUGAUUAAUAGGGAUAAUUGGGGGGCAUUUGUAUUAACGCGUCAGAGGUGGAAUUCUUAGAUUGCGUUACGACAAACUACUGCGAAAGCAUUUGCCAAGGAUGUUUUCAUUGAUCAAG
RNAcentral lists this ribosomal RNA (390 nucleotides) under uncultured eukaryote. RNAcentral describes it as "SSU rRNA". It matches the Rfam family "Eukaryotic small subunit ribosomal RNA", at positions 587 to 981 of the family's 1831-position model. The record is from RNAcentral.